This is a long non-coding RNA of Stomoxys calcitrans (stable fly), 2720 nucleotides long. RefSeq lists it as uncharacterized. NCBI's taxonomy places the organism in Eukaryota, Metazoa, Arthropoda, Insecta, Diptera, Muscidae. The record is from RefSeq and is a predicted model, not a curated record. The transcript is spliced from 2 exons.
UUUUAAUAACAUUUUUUUAAAUAAAAACUGUGUCUUUUGGUUUUUUGUUUUUUUUUUAAUUUUUCAAAUAUUUUUUUAAUAUUUUCGUUUUAUUUUAGUUUUGAUCGCCAAUUUCAUAAUUAUUUUUUACAUUUUUCUUUAUUAAUUUUUUAAAUACUCAUUUCACUUCUAUAAAAACUUUCUUAAUAAUAACACCGAUUUUCACUAAACUUAAUAUAGCUUUGAAUUAUGUAUAUAUGACAGAUAUCUUUUAUAGAAUUGUCAAAUAGACCUAUUUUAAGGCUUCAUUAUGUUUUGUGAUAAGGCUGUAAUAUAUAAAACUCAAAACACGUUAAGGCAUUGAGUUGCUAUGCGUUAAUGGGUUAAUCAUCUAAGAGCGGAAACAUAAAAUUAUUUAUUGAGUGAAUUACAGCAACUAUGGUAUGCUGUUAUUACAGCAACAAAGGUAUGCUGUUAAUAGCAAACUCUUAUAUUGGCUAUUAGCUACAACAUUUUCCAGUAUUCCUUAUUUUUGUGCAAUAUUCAUCACUUUAAGUAGGGGGAAAUCCUCGCCUACCCACAACAUCUCUUCUAUUUUUUUAAUAUUCUCAGUUUCAUCAUGUCAAAGACCGAAGUUUUAUUCCUUUAUUUUUGUUUGGAUUAUAGCACUUCAAGAUGUAUGCCACCAAUUUCUUACACUUGUCCUUUACUAAGGAUUACCAAGUAAUUUGUAUUAAGUAGAUUAUAAAAGAAAAAAAUUAAUUAUACACAAUCAUAAUGAAAAACUUAUAGGUAUAAAAUAAAAACACAGCAACAAAAAUACAAAGCUAAGCAUGUAAAAGAAAAGUCUGUGAAGAGACGAAAGAGUAUUUUUGUAUUUGAAAUGAAUUUAGUAAGAAAACCAACUAAACAAAAUCUUAAAAUCUUAAAACCCUACCAGCAGCAAAGCAAAACUCACACACACAGUCAGUUUUUGUGUAAAAAUUUUGACAUUUUCAUUUGAGUUUAUAAAAUUUUAUAAAAUAAAAACCCUGAAAAAAAGCAACAGAAAAUCCCCAGAAGAACCUAAAUCAAGAAAUCGAUACUCUUAUGAAUUUAUGAUUUUGUAAAUUGCGUCGUUUUAAAGCAGACGAAUAAAAGUAGAAAUGACAACUCAAAGCAAAAGUAAUGUAAAAAUUAAAAAAAAAAAAAAUGUUUAAAAACAUCAACUUUUUGCAAUUGCACAUAGCAACAGGAAACUGUAAAACUAAACAAACAAAAAUUGUAUUAUAUUGUAAAAAACAAAAAUAAGCAUAUAUUAGUUACCUUAAAACCCCCUACCCAAACUCCAAACUAGGCUAAGAAAAACCAGUUAACAACGCUGAGUAAUUUUUGGCGUUUUUUUUUUUGUUUUGAAACAAAUCCAAACCAGUAAAAGUCAUCGGAAUGUUUGCAGCAGAAGCAGAAGAGACGUUUUAAACAUAGUGUGGUAUUAUUAGCUUUUAAAUUCAAAUGUAAAAUUCAAUAUUAUGAUUAAGUCCUAGUUGUUUAAGUUUUUUUUUUUUAGAUUUUACUAUCUAAACAAAUCCCUUAAAAAUUGUAUUGUAUUUAAGAAGCAAAUUACGAUGAUGAUGAUGAGAAACUUCGAAAGUAUUGAAAGCCUGAAAAUGAAUAUUUUUUGAUUAUUUUGUAAAACAAAAAACGAUUUUUUUUAUUAAAUAAUUUGUAAAUACAUACAAUCCUUUAUAUACCCUCAUACAUGCAUAUGUGUAUAACUUUAUAUAUACACAUAUAUUAUUUACAUAUUUGUAAUAUAAUCUCUAUUUCUUCUAUAUGUUUAUUAUUAUUAUGAUUACGUAUUAUCAUUAUUUAAACUACUUUACCACUCUCUGUCACAGAAUUCUCAUUUACAUUUACCAUACAUAUAUAUAUAUAUAGACAUAUACUAUUACAUGCAUAUGAAACAAAAACACCCAUGUAAAAACGAAUCAUUUAUCUAUUGUGUUUUAUUUUUAAUAGAAAAUUUUGUUUUAUUCACAAACUGUAAACUUUUUAUGUUGUUUUAUUUUUGCCAAAACCCCAAUACCCAACUUCACAUUCAACUUUUCUGAAACUCUGCAACAGUUAAGAAAUUAUUUGUAGACAUUUAUUUGCCAUAUACAGCCCGUGUAUUCCCAUAUCCUAGGUCAUCGAUGGCAGCCGUCUCUGCUCUCUCUCUCUCUCUAUGUAUAGGGCACUCCCUACUAAAAGGUUUCUUCAUUACCAAACAUGUGAAUAUUCUAUUCACAUUAUAAUGCAACAACAACUACUACUACUACAACUACAACUAUUAUAUACAAAAACCAAGGACUACAUAAUCUAUGGCAGUUACAAAUAAGAGCAAAAAAACCGUAUACACUACAACUACAACAAAAGCAGACUCUAAUGUAAGCGUCAAGGAAGCACAAAUUUUUGUAAUUCUGUUGUCUUAAGGAAAACCCAAGCAAAGGGGACAAACAGCAACCACAUACCCAAGAAUGGCCUAAAUCCAAUAUAGUUUAAUGCCUAGGCUUGUGGUUCUUCUGACUCCUCUGACAAGUUUCACAACCAUAUAUACAUAUAUCCUACUACUACUUAUAAUGAUAAUAACACAAAACAUCAUAUCAACAGGAAGCCGUAACUCCACAAAAAACCGAAAAUUUCUCCAAAUUCACAUACACACACACAUAGAUAUUAAAUCCUUCAAUAAACUACAGUAGACAUUUCUAAAAACCCAAAUCAAC